GGCAGGUGAUACAGUGAGAUACAGUGGCAGUCACGCACACACUGAGGGAGCGACAGGGAGAUACACACAAACCUCCUUUUCUGAAACAUCCUCAACUUCGAUUUUAUUCUUUCAAGCUUUGACAGAUAGAUAAAUACAUAGCAAGAGAGAUAGACAGACAGACAGAGAUAGAUAGAGAGACAGACAGGUAGAUAGACAGACAGCGAGAUAGCUAGACAGACAGGUAGACAGACAGACAGACAGGUAGGUAGAUAGAUAUGCAGCGUGCAAGGCUCCAUGGAGGGAGAGAGACUGACUACAGUAGUGAUUCAAACCCAAGAUCACAGAAGAGGAGGAUCAAACAACAAACUACAUACUGGAGCAAAUAUGAGAUACUAGCAGUGCUCCUCUCUCUCCUCUCUCUCCUCUACAUCUCUCUGUACUCUCACAGUUUUCACCUGCACGUCACCAGACUGUAUGCUGGUCUGGGUCACCCCACUGCCCAGCACUUACUGGGACAGAGAUACCUGACUGGGGAGGGGGUGGAGCAGGAUGGACAGACAGCCAUGGAGUGGUUUAG
This is a long non-coding RNA of Polyodon spathula (Mississippi paddlefish), 559 nucleotides long. RefSeq lists it as uncharacterized. The transcript has 3 exons. NCBI's taxonomy places the organism in Eukaryota, Metazoa, Chordata, Actinopteri, Acipenseriformes, Polyodontidae. The record is from RefSeq and is a predicted model, not a curated record.